Molecule: ribosomal RNA, 317 nt
Filed under: uncultured Pseudomonadota bacterium
Lineage: Bacteria; Pseudomonadati; Pseudomonadota
Description: bacterial SSU rRNA
Rfam family: Bacterial small subunit ribosomal RNA
Source: RNAcentral
AUUGAACGCUGGCGGCAGGCCUAACACAUGCAAGUCGAGCGCGAAAGGUCUUCGGACUGAGUAGAGCGGCGGACGGGUGAGUAACGCGUAGGAAUUUGCCCAGUAGUGGGGGACAACAGUUAGAAAUGACUGCUAAUACCGCAUACGCCCUACGGGGGAAAGCAGGGGAUCUUCGGACCUUGCGCUAUUGGAGAAGCCUGCGUCGGAUUAGCUAGUUGGUAGGGUAAAGCCUACCAAGGCGACGAUCCGUAGCUGGUCUGAGAGGAUGAUCAGCCACACUGGGACUGAGACACGGCCCAGACUCCUACGGGUGGCAG